RNAcentral lists this unclassified non-coding RNA (337 nucleotides) under soil metagenome. RNAcentral's name for it is "partial contains 5.8S ribosomal RNA, internal transcribed spacer 2, and large subunit ribosomal RNA". The stretch from base 1 to 120 matches the Rfam family "5.8S ribosomal RNA", at positions 35 to 154 of the family's 154-position model. The record is from RNAcentral.
GAUGAAGAACGUAGCGAAAUGCGAUAAGUAAUGUGAAUUGCAGAAUUCAGUGAAUCAUCGAAUCUUUGAACGCACAUUGCGCCCCUUGGUAUUCCGAGGGGCAUGCCUGUUCGAGCGUCAUUACACCACUCGAGCUAUGCUUGGUAUUGGGCGUCGUCCUUAGUUGGGCGCGCCUUAAAGACCUCGGCGAGGCCACUCCGGCUUUAGGCGUAGUAGAAUUUAUUCGAACGUCUGUCAAAGGAGAGGAACUCUGCCGACUGAAACCUUUAUUUUUCUAGGUUGACCUCGGAUCAGGUAGGGAUACCCGCUGAACUUAAGCAUAUCAAUAAGCGGAGGA